GAUGAACGCUGGCGGCGUGCCUAAUACAUGCAAGUCGAGCGAACGGACGAGAAGCUUGCUUCUCUGAUGUUAGCGGCGGACGGGUGAGUAACACGUGGAUAACCUACCUAUAAGACUGGGAUAACUUCGGGAAACCGUAGCUAAUACCGGAUAAUAUUUUGAACCGCAUGGUUCAAAAGUGAAAGACGGUCUUGCUGUCACUUAUAGAUGGAUCCGCGCUGCAUUAGCUAGUUGGUAAGGUAACGGCUUACCAAGGCAACGAUGCAUAGCCGACCUGAGAGGGUGAUCGGCCACACUGGAACUGAGACACGGUCCAGACUCCUACGGGAGGCAGCAGUAGGGAAUCUUCCGCAAUGGGCGAAAGCCUGACGGAGCAACGCCGCGUGAGUGAUGAAGGUCUUCGGAUCGUAAAACUCUGUUAUUAGGGAAGAACAUAUGUGUAAGUAACUGUGCACUUCUUGACGGUACCUAAUCAGAAAGCCACGGCUAACUACGUG
RNAcentral lists this ribosomal RNA (497 nucleotides) under uncultured bacterium. RNAcentral's name for it is "partial 16S ribosomal RNA". It matches the Rfam family "Bacterial small subunit ribosomal RNA", at positions 28 to 507 of the family's 1533-position model. The record is from RNAcentral.